GAGUUUGAUCCUGGCUCAGAACGAACGCUGGCGGCGUGCCUAACACAUGCAAGUCGAACGUGAUCCAGAGCUUGCUCUGGUGAAAGUGGCGCACGGGUGAGUAACGCGUGGAUAACCUACCCUGGUAUCCGGGAUAACAUUCCGAAAGGAGUGCUAAUACCGGAUAAGCCCACGGGCUCUUUGGAGCUUGCGGGAAAAGGUGGCCUCUAUUUAUAAGCUACUGUAUCAGGAUGGGUCCGCGUACCAUUAGCUAGUUGGCGGUGUAACGGACCACCAAGGCGACGAUGGUUAGCUGGUCUGAGAGGAUGAUCAGCCACACUGGAACUGAGACACGGUCCAGACUCCUACGGGAGGCAGCAGUGGGGAAUUUUGCGCAAUGGGGGAAACCCUGACGCAGCAACGCCGCGUGAGUGAUGAAGGCCUUUGGGUCGUAAAGCUCUGUCAGAGGGGAAGAAAUGAUAUAGUGCUAAUACCACUUUAUCUUGACGGUACCCUCAAAGGAAGCACCGGCUAACUCCGUGCCAGCAGCCGCGGUAAUAC
This 540-nucleotide ribosomal RNA is filed under the name uncultured Geobacteraceae bacterium. Its description in RNAcentral is "bacterial SSU rRNA". It matches the Rfam family "Bacterial small subunit ribosomal RNA", at positions 9 to 526 of the family's 1533-position model. Lineage: Bacteria; Pseudomonadati; Thermodesulfobacteriota; Desulfuromonadia; Geobacterales; Geobacteraceae. The record is from RNAcentral.